GAUGAAGAACGUAGCGAAAUGCGAUACUUGGUGUGAAUUGCAGAAUCCCGUGAACCAUCGAGUCUUUGAACGCAAGUUGCGCCCGAAGCCAUUAGGCCGAGGGCACGCCUGCCUGGGUGUCACACGUCGUUGCCCCCCCAUCUACUCCUUCGGGAUUGCGGGGGGCGGAUGAUGGCCUCCCGUGCGCCUCGUCGCGCGGUUGGCAUAAAUGCCAAGUCCUCGGCGACGCACGCCACGACAAUCGGUGGUUGCGAAACCUCGGUUGCCCGUCGUGUGCGGUCGUCGCGCAUCGAGGGCUCGAAAAAAUUGCCGGGCUCCGGCUCGGCUUUCAACGCGACCCCAGGUCAGGCGGGGUUACCCGCUGAAUUUAAGGAUAUCAAUAAGCGGAGGA
RNAcentral lists this unclassified non-coding RNA (391 nucleotides) under soil metagenome. RNAcentral describes it as "partial contains 5.8S ribosomal RNA, internal transcribed spacer 2, and large subunit ribosomal RNA". The stretch from base 1 to 122 matches the Rfam family "5.8S ribosomal RNA", at positions 35 to 154 of the family's 154-position model. The record is from RNAcentral.